GUCGAUGGGAGCGCCUGGAGGCGCGGCGGCCUCCUGCUUGUCGUCGGCAGCAGCGUUAU
RNAcentral lists this small RNA (59 nucleotides) under unclassified sequences. RNAcentral describes it as "Actino-ugpB RNA". It matches the Rfam family "Actino-ugpB RNA". The record is from Rfam by way of RNAcentral.